UAAUGAAUAAAAAUGGUGAAAAAAUUGGAUGUUUUUUUUUUCUAUUUUUAUCUUUGUAAUUAAUAUAUUGUCAUCCCUCAACUUUUUGUUAGGCUUAAGAAUUUUGCUAGAAAUAAGAAAAUAAUAUGUUCCUUUUUAUGUAGAGAGGUUUUCCUAACUAAGAGGAAAUUUGUAUAUAGUGUUCUUUUUCAUACACAACAAUAAACAAAUGGUAUUUUUUUCAAUAUUUUGGGCAAUUUUUUUGCUUUUUAUAAAUGCUGUUUAAACGUGUCUUGUUAUACAAGGGAAGGAAUUUCCUACCAGUUUUAUUUACCUUUUUUACGAGACAAAAGAUUUUUUUACUGCUAAAAUUUUUUCACUCCGUAACAUUUACUCAAAGGAGUCAAUCUGAGUAUUCAAGCAUUUAAUUAAAUCAUGUUUGGUGUAUCUAGCAGUUAUCACCCAACUUCUUUCUUUUACAAAUAUGGCUUUAUUUUUUAAAUUUUAUGAUAUUUUUACUUAAAAAAUAAUAAUAUAAAGUGUGAAAAAUUUAUGCUUAAAAACAGAUAUUUAAAAUAUUAUUAAUAUUUGCCAACAAAAAGUUACUUUAUAUACCUACACAUUUUGAAAUUGGAAAGCUAUUUGGAAGAAUUUUAAUUCAUGGAUCUAACAAAACCAAUCUAACCAUGUAGCAUAUUUAUGUUUAAAUUUACCUAUGAGGUUAAAUAUAGUAUUUUCUAUAUUUUUGGGAACUUAUGUUAGCCUAUAUAUUUGUUUCUAGCUCAUAUUUUAAAUCAAACAUUUGAACUAUGAACUUAGAGAGCUUCAAAUGGGUACUAGUUCAUUUUUUUUUCCUGGAGAUUUCGCUUAUUCCCCUUUUUUUCAAGUAUUUUUUUAAAUUGCUGUUUCCCUGUCAGUGUACUUUUUGAAAAUGAAAGAUGCAUAAUUUUUUUGAUCAAUUUUUUUGAUUUGCAAAAUGAUCAAAAAAAUAUUAGCAAUCUGUUAAUCACAGAAAAAGUUAGGUAAACUAUUAAAGAAAUUAUCGAGGAAAAUUUAUUCUGUAUUGUAGAAAAAACAUGAUCCAAAUCGGUACUCCCAUUCUCCAGUUAUUAGAAUAAAUGCAUACAUAGACUUUUGCUUUUAUAUAUAGGGAAAUUAUUAUUAGUUCGUAUAUUUUUCCUUUCUAUUCUUCCUUUUAUCACAAUAUCGUGCCUUAUAAUUGAUGUAAACUAACAUUUAAAUCAAACUUUUAACAAUUCAUAUCAUAGUAUAUUUAUCUAUAUCAUAUUCAUUUAUAUACAUUCAUUAAUCUUAUUCGUUUGUACACAUUAUGUGAAUUCUAAUCAUUAUUAUUUAUUAAUUAAUUAACAUUUAUAAAUUAACAAAAGAUGUUAUGUGUGUUUUUCAUUUCUGCUUUAUAUUUGUUGUAAAGUUUAACAAACACCCUCUUCUACCUUUAAUGUUGUUACUUAUUAGCAACUCUGGAAUGUAGAGGGAACAUGUCUCCUUUAAUAAUUUUUUUUCUUUAGUUCUUGGGAUAAACAUUUCAUUACAUGUUGUUUUAAGUGCUUUUUCAUUACAUUCAAAAUACAGUUGAUUCCCUAUAAUUUUAAGUACAGUAACUUGUUUUUUUUAUGAGCCUUUAACCCUUUCAGCUUUAAUUUUAUAAUAAUUAUUCUCAAUUUCUCUGCUUUUAUUCCCUAUAAAUCGAUUUUUAUUUCUAGAUAUAGACCAUGUCUUUAUUGUUGAAUAAGGCUUAGAAAAAAAAUUUUUGUAAAAUUUAUACUGAGUUUGCUACAAUUGAAAGUAUACCAUAACUUGAUUUUUAUAUGAGCUAUUAACCCUUUUAUUUUUAGUGUCAUAUUAAUCAUUCUUAGUUACUUAAUUUUUAUUCCUUUUAGCUUGAUUUUUUAUAAAUGUCAAUAUCUCUUAUAGUUAAAAAAAAACUGAUAACACAUGUGUGGUUAAAGUAAACUUUUCUUUUGUUUGUAUUGUUAGCAUUCAUACUGUUCUGCAUUGCCUUAGAAUUUGGAAAUGCAUAGAUUCAAGAAUGAAAUAAGUUAUAUUAAAAAACAAAUCUAUCAAUGUACUGUAUAACUUUUGGUUGUGUUUUGAUUGUAUCAUACAAGUAUAAAAAUUCUCUUUUUUUCAGGCAAUUUGAAAUUAUACUCUUCCCAUCCUACGAAGAGCAAAUCAAAUUUUCUCUACCAUUUAUGUGAUAUUUGUGGUUAUAGUACCAAUAACCGUGGAAAUAUGUUCAAGCAUGUUAAGGUUCAUUCGAAAGAGCGACCAUUUGUCUGCAAAAUAUGUUGUAAAAGUUUCAAGCAUAAGUAUAAUCUCGAACGGCAUAGUAUAACACACUUAUCAAAUUUGUAAUACCUGGUAAAAUAAUUUGCUAAUCAUAUAUAAUGAAGAAUAUUGUUGAAUAUAAGUUUAGGUUGCCAUUUUUUAAAUGAAAUUUGAAUGCAACCAUGUAUGACUGUCUCGUGGAGUAAUUUUUUUCUUAAAUUUUUAAGAUUCUGAGAGCUGUUACCCUGGCCACAGGUUUAUGACACCAUUAGGCCUAUCUUCUUACAUAAAUUAAAAGAAAUUUUCAACUUGCAUGGUAUAAUUUGAAUUAUUUUAAUGUAAUUUUAUUUUUACUGUAGCAAUUGACGAACUAUAUGCCAAAAAUUUUGUUUUUGUUAUGUAAUGCAUUUCCACAAUGACUGAGUUUUGGCAUAAAUUAUGGUGGACGCACAAUUUCAAGAUCCUGACAUAAUGGUGGCAAUGGGGUUGGAAUUGCAACCCAGCCACUUUUACAUCUCAGACCAACUCUACCUAUUGAUCCAAAAUUGAGUGAACUUUAAAAUUCAUCAAGAACUCUGGUCUUGGACAAUACUAGCACAGUGCCUUAACCUUUGUACUAUCAUUGCCCAUCUGUAUCCAUAAUCCAUUUAUAUUUAAAUAGAUGAUCUGCGGCCUGCUUUGUGUAUCUCCUUCACCUUUAAAAUCUUUUAAGUGCCCACAUUGUGAUUAUACUACUACUCAUCGGGGCCACUUGAAACAGCACAUUCGAAUACACACUAAGGAGCGUCCAUUUGUUUGCAGACUUUGUGGAAAGGACUUUACCCAGAAAAAUAACCUGAACCGUCAUCAAAUUACUCAUGUCAAUGAAGGAAAGUUUACUUGAAAUGUACACGUGGGUUUUAAAUAUGCAUUUUUACCAGAACAAAAGACUACAUUAUCUUAUAAUGUCAUCAUUGGAGAUGUUAACUUACUUAAUUAUGUAUUAUAGCAAAAUUUUCGCAAAAUAAUAAACUUGGAACAUUAAAUUUAAAUCUUAAAUAAUUAGUUGUUAAUGUUAUUUAAAUUUUUUAUUUCUAUCAUUCAAUCUGAGUUUUUAUAAAUACUUUAGCUAAAACUGGACAAAAUAGGUAAAUAAAUACACAUAUGAAACAAUGUAAAUUUUUAUAUCCUAAUUCACUGCUUACUUAAAGUCAACAAGAGUUAAUGAUUUAUUCUAAUCUCAUGUUGUGCUAGAUCAGGGAUGCACAAUCAUUUUCUGGCAGUGGGUCAUUAAAACUGCAAAAUACAUUAUUGGGGGCCAAAAUUAAUGUGAUGCUGUAAUUAUAAAAAGACGAGAAAUAUUUAAUGUCUGUUUGAAUGAGUUACAAAUGUACAAUUGAUCUUUUGCUCUCUUAUAGAUCAUAAAAAAGAUUCAUGUAAAUAGCUUUAAGCAAAUAUACUUUUUAGAUAAAGCAAAUUAUGAUAAAUUUAUAGGCACAUUGACUUUUUCUUUCUUUGACUUUUUUUCUCUUUUAAUUUAUUUGUAAAAAUUCAUAAGUAAUUAUUUUUCACUGCAAACUUUGAACCUACUGCAACUACUUUGAACCUCUGGCAACUACUUUCUGUUACUGAAAAUGGCUGAAUGGAAUUUUUUGUACUUUUUUAUAUUUUUAUUACUAUUUUAGACUGUUCAAGGACUAUGUUAAAAAGAUUUGGGGUCUCUGUGCUUAAUGAAAGAGCCUUAGAAGAAAAAACUAAUUUCUCUUGGGUUCUUCCGCCUAAAUUUUCCUAAUAUCUCCAUCUAGAUUCAGCAUAUGGAAACUAACUUUGACUUUCAUUUAAUAUGUCAUUAGUAAAUUUCUACAAUCAUUAUAUGUACAUAAAAUGAUAGAAAGCUUAGGUCUGUGCUAUAAGAGGUUAAGUUGUACUGAACAUUUUCUUACAAAUUCUGUAACUGCAAUUUUUCAAUUAAGGCAAAAUAAAUUAUGAAAUGUCAUAUUGUGUAUUUUCAA
Molecule: non-coding RNA, 4259 nt
Organism: Parasteatoda tepidariorum (common house spider)
Lineage: Eukaryota; Metazoa; Arthropoda; Arachnida; Araneae; Theridiidae
Source: RefSeq, a predicted model, not a curated record